CUGAGAUACCUUAUAAAACAGGGGUGGAGGAAUGCUAAAAGCCAAGUUCCAUAGUUUCUCCAAACCACACCACCAAGUAUUUGAAUACAUGAGCCUGUGGGGGAUGUGGCUCAUUCAGAUCACCCACCAUGAUGCUAGAACCAAAUACUUAAGAGUUAGGAUAUUGCCGAAUACCUUUAAUCCCAGCAGAGGCAGGUGGAUUUCUGUGAGUUCAAGGCCAGCCUGGUCUACAAAACAAGUUCCCAGACAGCCAGGGCUGUUACACAGGGCCGUUAUAUGAAGGAGGAGGAGAAGGGAAAGGAGAAGAGGAGGAGGAGGGAUUUUUGUAAAGAGCAUGCAUUUGUUUGCUCAUGGUUCUAGAGGCUAAGAUUACAAAAUCAAGGCACUAGCAGAUUCGGUGCUUGGUAAGGACUACCCUUUCUGCUUCUAAGAUGGUGCCUGAUGGCCGUGUGCUCAAAUGGCAGGAAGGGUGACUACUGGGUCUUCACAUGGUGGAGGCUGACACAGCAACAGACACAGACAGGUUGGGAUCCAGCUCAGUAGCACAGCCUGUGACUAGUGUGCAUCGAGCCCUAGGUUAAUCCCCCCAACACCAAAUAAAUUAGCAAAUGGCAAAAAGGAUCUUUCUAAUUGCCUCCAGCCCUUUUCUAUCAAUGAAGCUGAGCCCCCCCCCCCAAGGCUUACGUUGUGCUCUUGAAGACCCCACUUACUCACACCAUUACACUGGGGAUUUGGUUUCAACAUGAAUUUUUCUAAGGACACAGAUAUUUAAAGCAUAGUGCUAGCAUAGUGAUUAGGACUCCCCCAGUGAUGGGUUGCAUUAUCGGGGCACACAUCUAAACCACGUGGGAGUACAGUUCCAAACAAAGGUGGGGUGCAUCCUGUAAAAAGGAAGGAGGCAGUAGUUGUUGUCUGAAGUUUACUGAUACUGGCAUUCUUUCCCUGGAUGAAGGAAGGAAAAAGACAUGGAAAAUUCCAGUGCUGCACCUGUGCCUAUUUCAAUGGCAUCAGCUUGCUGUCUCAUCCCCAGUGGCAGGGAGCCAGCACAGCUCUCCUUCUCUGCAGUAGUUAACUAGAGCCUGCUCUCAAGUUGAUUCUUUCGGGUAUAUGACCACAGUAACAGAAAGUUGCUUGACACAGUUAUGUAGGCUAGUGGGAUCGUUAGGCAGCCCCUGUUGUAGAAUCCGUGUGCAUCUUCUGUUCUUGUUACCCCUCCAGCUCUCUUUAUGAAUGGACUGAGCAGACUCGGAGAAAGGCAGAUGAAUGCCAUGCACAGAGAGAGAGAGAGAGAGAGAGAGGGUGAGAGAGAGUUGGCCAGCCUGUGUGAUUAUGUAAUCGCUCCUGCCAUUGGCCAGAGGCUCUGGUGAGCACAAACACAGAGGCAUGGGGCUAGGUUCUGAGAGAUCUGUCUGCUUACCCUCUCCCUGAAUCCAGUCUAAGACCUUGCCUAACCAAACCCUAUGACCUUCAGCUUUUGCCAUUUGUCCUGGUACUUUCCAGUCCUGUUUCCUCACAGGCUAUGUAGGUGUCAUGUGCCACCUGGGGGAGUGUCAUGAGAUGAGAAUCUGCAGCUGUGGUAGUCACAAGAGCCUGGACAGUGGAGCUCGUGGGUGGCCCCCUCUGCUGUUAACCAGCUGCCUGGUACCUGGAGCACCUCUCUAAUCUUGUUUCUACACCUCGUCCCUCACUGACCUUGGAAACACUGAAGCCUGGCAGGCAGAAUGUAGAAUUCCAGAUGUAGAACUCUCAGCUCCUGCUCCAGUGCCAUG
Cricetulus griseus (Chinese hamster) is the source of this 1769-nucleotide non-coding RNA. The record is from RefSeq and is a predicted model, not a curated record. Lineage: Eukaryota; Metazoa; Chordata; Mammalia; Rodentia; Cricetidae.